This is an RNA transcript of Oreochromis niloticus (Nile tilapia), 1707 nucleotides long. It is a transcript of the gene named galactose-1-phosphate uridylyltransferase, with no coding region annotated. The record is from RefSeq and is a predicted model, not a curated record. The transcript has 12 exons. NCBI's taxonomy places the organism in Eukaryota, Metazoa, Chordata, Actinopteri, Cichliformes, Cichlidae.
AAAAAAACAGUUGACCAAAGCUAAACAUUUCAGGCUGCUGUAUUGGGUGGCAACAGUCUAAUGACCAAUUAUCCUUAGUUUGACUUUUUCAGUCUUAUUUACUUACUUAUUUGUUUAGAUUUUUAGAAGUGUGCCAUUGCAUACCGGCAUGUGCACAAUAGCAACCUUUCGCUUGUCAACAAAACAGGAAGUAGGCCAAGGUUUAUUGAGGACCGUGUUGAUUUAGCAUCAUAUGCUAAAGUCCAGAGAAAGCUCGUGGUUCAAAAAAAGAACACCGGGGAGGAGACAGCUGUGAAACAUCAGUGAGUGACCGACAUGAGCGGGAAGCAAGACGUCAGUUUUGACCCAAAAGAGCACCAGCACUUGCGUUACAACCCUCUUAGGGACAGCUGGGUUCUUGUGUCCGCCCACCGCAUGAAGAGACCUUGGGCAGGUCAAGUUGAAAGACCACCUGAGGAGCACAUACCAAGAUAUGACCCAAAUAACCCACUCUGUCCUGGGAACAAAAGGGCAAAUGGAGAGGGGAAUCCAGAUUAUGACAGUACCUUUGUGUUUGAGAAUGACUUCCCCGCUCUUCAGCCUGACGCUCCAGACCCUGGUUCAGAACAAGAUCCAUUAUUUCAGUCUAAAGCUGCAAGGGGUGUCUGUAAGGUCAUGUGUUUCCAUCCCUGGUCGGACGUCACGCUCCCUCUCAUGAAAAAAGAAGAGGUUGUCAAGGUGAUAGACAAGUGGGCGGAGCUUGUUGAGGAACUAGGCACUAUUUACCCAUGGGUUCAGAUCUUCGAGAAUAAGGGUGCUAUGAUGGGUUGUUCGAAUCCACAUCCUCACUGCCAGGUGUGGGCCAGCAACUUUCUUCCUAAUGAGCCGGCCCUGUCAGACCGCUGUCAGAGAGCAUACUAUCAGAAACACGGAGAGCCAAUGCUGCUGCAAUAUGCCAAACGGGAGGCUGAGAAAAAGGAACGUGUUGUGGUGGAGAGUUCUGAUUGGCUGGCAGUGGUUCCAUAUUGGGCAACUUGGCCCUAUCAGACAUUGUUGUUACCAAGACGACACGUCCUCCGAAUGAGUGACUUGACAACAGAGGAAAGAGAGGGUCUGGCUGCCAUUAUGAAGCGACUACUGACCAAGUAUGACAAUCUGUUCGAAGUGUCUUUUCCUUACUCCAUGGGCUGGCAUGCAACCGAAGUGCAUGCUCUAUUGGUUGAGAUCAGGAGCGCCUACUGGCCCAUAUUUAAAAGAAGAUAACUCCCACUGGCAGCUUCAUGCUCACUACUACCCACCUCUGCUGCGUUCAGCAACAGUUAAGAAGUUUAUGGUGGGUUAUGAGAUGCUCGCCCAGGAGCAAAGAGAUCUCACCCCUGAACAGGCUGCCGAGAAGCUAAGAAACCUGCCAGAAGAGCACUAUAAAACCAGAUAGAUCCAUGAAAACCAGAGCAAGAAAGGCAUUGAAUUGUAACAAACUGUGUGAAGGUUGGAAGACAUGUAUUUAAAAGAUUUGUUAUUUUAAAAAAAACAAAACAAACAGUCGCAUUUGCAAGAGACAAAAACCUCGUCUCAGAGUUACAUGGUUAAGUACCAUUUCCGACACAGGGCCGAAAGCUUUUUCUACAUGCACCGAUCAAAGGAAUAUGUGAAUAUUUUCUAUAUUCAGUACACAUGUACAAAAUUUGGUACUGGAUUUCUGACUGUAAUAAAGGACUUUAAAUAAAA